GAAAUGCGAUAAGUAGUGUGAAUUGCAGAAUUCAGUGAAUCAUCGAAUCUUUGAACACACAUUGCGCCCUUUGGUAUUCCUUAGGGCAUGCCUGUUCGAGCGUCAUCUAAACCUUCAAGCCCUGCUUGGUGUUGGGUGCCUGUCCCGCCUCCGCGCGCGGACUCACCUCAAAUCCAUUGGCGGCCCCCGCGUCGGCCACGAGCGCAGCAGAAACGCGAACUCGUGAGCCCGUCCGGGCGGCUCCCAGAAGCUACACCCACCCAGUUGACCUCGGAUCAGGUAGGGAUACCCGCUGAACUUAAGC
This 304-nucleotide unclassified non-coding RNA is filed under the name plant metagenome. Its description in RNAcentral is "partial contains 5.8S ribosomal RNA, internal transcribed spacer 2, and large subunit ribosomal RNA". The stretch from base 1 to 105 matches the Rfam family "5.8S ribosomal RNA", at positions 50 to 154 of the family's 154-position model. The record is from RNAcentral.